This 453-nucleotide ribosomal RNA is filed under the name uncultured Porphyromonadaceae bacterium. RNAcentral describes it as "partial 16S ribosomal RNA". It matches the Rfam family "Bacterial small subunit ribosomal RNA", at positions 341 to 792 of the family's 1533-position model. Lineage: Bacteria; Pseudomonadati; Bacteroidota; Bacteroidia; Bacteroidales; Porphyromonadaceae. The record is from RNAcentral.
ACGGAAGGCAGCAGUGAGGAAUAUUGGUCAAUGGACGGAAGUCUGAACCAGCCAAGUCGCGUGAAGGAUGAAGGUAUUAUGUAUUGUGAACUUCUUUAGCAGUGGAGUAAUAAGGGGAUCGUGAUCCCUGAUGCAAGUACACUGAGAAUAAGGAUCGGCUAACUCCGUGCCAGCAGCCGCGGUAAUACGGAGGAUCCGAGCGUUAUCCGGAUUUAUUGGGUUUAAAGGGUGCGCAGGCGGCUUUUUAAGUCAGUGGUUAAAUCGUGACGCUCAACGUCAUCACGCCAUUGAUACUGGAGAGCUUGAUUGCGGUCGAGGUUUGCGGAAUUCGUUGUGUAGCGGUGAAAUGCAUAGAUAUGACGAAGAACACCGAUUGCGUAGGCAGCAGACCAGGCCGUAAAUGACGCUCAUGCACGAAAGUGCGGGGAUCGAACAGGAUUAGAUACCCUGGUA